RNAcentral lists this long non-coding RNA (960 nucleotides) under Capra hircus (goat). RNAcentral describes it as "lncRNA (ENSCHIG00000001819.1)". The record is from RNAcentral. Lineage: Eukaryota; Metazoa; Chordata; Mammalia; Artiodactyla; Bovidae.
GACUGACCACAGAGAGGACAUCAGUGAAUGUGUCUGACUGUGGUUCCCCCAGAUGAGGUCUUUGUCCUUAAUGUACCUGGAUCUGCCAGGGUUGCCAUAGUAACCACAAAUGUAGGGAUACAUGGUCUCUGUUGUCAUGGAAACAAACACUUGCAUGUCCCUCAGUGGCACGGCUACAGAGAACUUGAGGAUUCAGUCUGCUCUGAAGGGUUUGGGAGGGAGACUGUGACCAGCAGAGAGGGUUUCCAUAUCAUAAUGAAUCAGUGAUGGCAGCUGUUAGCUUGACUGUUGCCACGGUGAUGGAGAAAGACACUGAGGUGACUGGUGCUAGCUUCAGUACUGAGCUGGUGAGAUAAAGCGCUGCAACCGGCUUUGUGUACAGCCUGGACAGGACCAGACCUCAAACUCACCCCAUCCUCUGGCAGCCAUGGGGACAAGGACCUCUUUGCUUGCUCUUUGGGUUUGCACCCUUUUGCCAAGACAGGGAUUUUGUUCCCAGGAGGCACUCCCCGGCCCAUGGGAUCUCAGCAUUCAAAGCAACACAGGAAACCUGGGCCCCUGAAACGGGGCCACCGAAGAGAUCGAGCCAGCACCUGCCGGAAGUCCCUCCAUCUGAUCCCACUUAACUCCCACCGGAAGCAGCUAGGGCUGAGGCCCUGGAGGAGGCCUUGAUGAGCGCACGGUCUGGCCAGGCCAGGGUCAGGAAUGACGAGGUGAAGUACAAGGCUGUGGAGUCACCCCUGCUUUUUGUCCUCAGGAGAACAACCAGGAGGAAGUACUGGAAGGAAGGAAGGGAGAUCGCUCGGCCGGGGGACUCAAGCACCAAUGUGAAGCUGAAGAGAGUCGUGGAGACGGGGGGCAGUGAGACCGAGUCUGCCCAGGCCACGCCCGUGGCCGGGGUGUGGCCCUGGCCCUGGGGAGGGUCACUGUUUGAGAGGAGGACGCAGCUUUAUAAAAUGA